CAGUAGCCGCGGUAAUACGAAGGGGGCUAGCGUUGUUCGGAAUUACUGGGCGUAAAGCGUCUGUAGGUGGCUUUUCAAGUCCGUCGUCAAAUCCCAGGGCUCAACCCUGGACAGGCGGUGGAAGCUACCAAGCUGGAGUACGGUAGGGGCAGAGGGAAUUUCCGGUGGAGCGGUGAAAUGCGUUGAGAUCGGAAAGAACACCAACGGCGAAGGCACUCUGCUGGGCCGACAUUGACACUGAGAGACGAAAGCUAGGGGAGCAAAUGGGAUUAGAGACCCCUGUAGUCCCUGUCUCUUAUAC
Molecule: ribosomal RNA, 301 nt
Filed under: uncultured bacterium
Lineage: Bacteria
Description: partial 16S ribosomal RNA
Rfam family: Bacterial small subunit ribosomal RNA
Source: RNAcentral